Molecule: ribosomal RNA, 404 nt
Filed under: Pseudophacopteron tuberculatum
Lineage: Eukaryota; Metazoa; Arthropoda; Insecta; Hemiptera; Phacopteronidae
Description: partial 16S ribosomal RNA
Source: RNAcentral
AAACAUCUUUGAAAGAAAGAAUUUUUGAUUUGACCUGCUCAAUGAAUUAAAUAGCUGCAGUAUUUUGACUGUACAAAGGUAGCAUAAUCAAUAGUCUUUUAAUUGAAGAAUAGUAUGAAUGGUUUGACGGAAUAUUCUUAAUUUUAUUGAAUUUUUAGUUUAAGUCAAAAUGCUUAAUUAAAUAAAAGGGACGAUAAGACCCUAUAGAAUUUGAAAUUGUUUUUUUUGUUGGGGUGACUAAAUAACUUACUUUUUUCAUUUUUAGGUGUUUUAUGAUCUUUUUUAAGAUAAAAAGAUAAAAUUACCUUAGGGAUAACAGCAUAAUUUUUAACAAAGAUCUUAUUAAAAUAAAAGAUUAUGACCUCGAUGUUGAAUUAAUAUUAAUUAGAUGCAGAAGUUAAUUC